Molecule: ribosomal RNA, 437 nt
Filed under: uncultured bacterium
Lineage: Bacteria
Description: bacterial SSU rRNA
Rfam family: Bacterial small subunit ribosomal RNA
Source: RNAcentral
UUACGGGAGGCAGCAGUGGGGAAUAUUGGACAAUGGGCGAAAGCCUGAUCCAGCAAUGCCGCGUGAGUGAUGAAGGCCUUAGGGUUGUAAAGCUCUUUUACCAGGGAUGUUAAUGACAGUACCUGGAGAAUAAGCUCCGGCUAACUCCGUGCCAGCAGCCGCGGUAAUACGGAGGGAGCUAGCGUUGUUCGGAAUUACUGGGCGUAAAGCGUGCGUAGGCGGUUAUUCAAGUCAGAGGUGAAAGCCUGGAGCUCAACUCCAGAACUGCCUUUGAAACUAGGUAACUAGAAUUGUGGGGAGGUAAGUGGAAUUCCGAGUGUAGAGGUGAAAUUCGUAGAUAUUCGGAAGGACACCAGUGGCGAAGGCGACUUACUGGACACAUAUUGACGCUGAGGUACGAAAGCGUGGGGAGCAAACAGGAUUAGAUACCCUAGUAU